Non-coding RNA from Dermacentor albipictus, 643 nucleotides. Lineage: Eukaryota; Metazoa; Arthropoda; Arachnida; Ixodida; Ixodidae. The record is from RefSeq and is a predicted model, not a curated record.
UUAAAAUUUUUACCGGUAUUUCCGAGUGCACGGCGGCACGGAUUCAUUCGUUCGUACACUCAAGACUGGUUGCUUCUUUGUUUCUAAAACUAGUUUCUUGCGCUUCUAUGUAACUUGGGGUGAAGUUACGUGUUUGCAAGCGGACAUGUAAGCCCGGCAGUUGGGUUUCGGUCGUGAGCCAUUCGGAACAGGUCUGCAUCGAAACGGGAGCUGGAUUUUGCUGCGGCUGACAACGGCAAUAACGACAUGCAGUAAUGAGGACGGCACCAGUAUAAAGCAACACACUCCACGCACUAAACAGAAGCUGCUGCCUGCUACGACAAGGUCAUUGUGUGGACAUUGGCUACUACUACAAGAGUCUAUGCCAAGCACAUCUUGGUCAUCACAGGAGCUCCUAUCUGCACCAACAGGAAGGGGCUGGAGCCGAAUUUGCAAGGCUUUUACACCAAGAACAAAGAAGCACAUGCACAAGAAUAUGGAUGAGAUAUCAAGUCUGCAAAGGACUGUGUUAAGACUGCAAAGAGCUUCAGCCACCAUUCCACCAGCACGGACAUUUGGCUGAGUCAUCCAAGUAACUCAAAAAGGACUUUCUAGAAAUUCUUCGUCUUCAGAUGCACCUGCAACAUCUGACCAAGCACGGACG